CCGAGGAGCUCCUGUCUGUCUGCUUGUCCCACACUGCACGCUACCCCAGCGCAGGCUGCUGCAGACGCCAGGUGAUAUAUGCUCUGGAGGAGACCCCAGCAGAAAUGCAGCAUAACUAAUGAGUGUUAAGCUGAUCUGAACUGCAGCCGGUGGAGUCUCCCAAGUUCCAACAAGGUGCCCUGGUUGGUCCUGAAUUUGGCCUGUGCCUGCUCAUCUGAUGUUGACUCUGUUAGCUCCUGACACCUGGAGAGAGGAGGAGAUUUCAUCUGGCAAAUGGACCUUAUCUCUGAAUCGAGCCUGACCUGAUGUUUGGUGGACCAAGGUCUCUGCUGCUUGAGAGAGAUUAAUAGAUCCCAAGACCAGAAGGGACCACUGUGAUCAUCUAAUCGAAUCUGUUGCACAGUCCAUAGAAUUUACCCAGUGUUGGAAUUUCCUCCAAUCCAGCACAAAUUUGCACUACUGGAUUUUUCUGGCAGGCCCCACUGAAGGCGGAAGGCCCAGCACACGACUUAGAAGGAUGUAGCUGCAGAGGACCCAGGGCCCAGUCACCAAAAUGGAAGGCAGUGCCCUGGCCAAGAGAUGACAACAGCUAUUGAACGCUGGCCCCUGCUGAAGCUCCUACUGGAGGCUGAAGGCACUGUGCCCCAGGAGGAAUGGCAUGAAGCAAUACACAGUAAAGUUCUGCCUCUUUUCCAGCAAGGUGUCUGCUAUGUGCUAGGGCCCCCCCAGGCCCUUUGUGGAAGAAAUGAGGCCAAAUGCUUCUCACAGACUGAUUUGCAUGAAUUACCCUCUGUAGCAGAAGAGAACAAGCCCCGCUGACCAAGGGAGGAGUGACAACUAAAGAUAAAAGGCCAGCAGCACUGUGAGUAGCUGGGACGCCGUCUUCCAGCAAACUCCAUCUAUGGCCACUGCCCCUGUGCUGAAAGGAGGACAUUGGCUUUUGAGAGAUGUGCACAGGGUGAUCCCAUCUCCCUGCGUGUGCAUGUCUACGCUGCACUGCCUAGAACCCAUCUCUUGAUCAGAAGGCAGUACGGCACCUGAGGGUGUGUAGAGACUGCAGCACCCAGCAAACACAAUGUGCAGCCCUACUAUUCUGAAUUGCCAUUGCAGGGGAAACUCUACAUGGCAAAGUCGUGAUAUUGUUAGCUCACAAGCACAGCAAGUCCUGUUGAGAGAGAACUUUGUGACGCAAGAGCGUGAGUUAACCAACCUCUGGGCAGACUGUUAAAAACCAGGGCACAAUCAGGGCCGCCCAGAGGAUUCAGGGGGCCUGGGGCAAAGCGGGGGAGCUUGUAUACACUGGGUGGUGCUCUGAGUCUGCGGCGGCGGCAGCA
Trachemys scripta elegans is the source of this 1334-nucleotide long non-coding RNA. RefSeq lists it as uncharacterized. Lineage: Eukaryota; Metazoa; Chordata; Testudines; Emydidae. The record is from RefSeq and is a predicted model, not a curated record. The transcript has 3 exons.